This 706-nucleotide long non-coding RNA is filed under the name Citrus sinensis (sweet orange). Its description in RNAcentral is "long non-coding RNA (CSIN_LNC003269)". The record is from RNAcentral. Lineage: Eukaryota; Viridiplantae; Streptophyta; Magnoliopsida; Sapindales; Rutaceae.
CACGAUCUACUAGAUACUUGAAUACACACACACACACACACACACACACACAGAGUCACGCACGAACAGAGAUCACAUCAAAUGGGAAGCAGGAACUCGUUCAACUACUUACUUUUUUUGUUUAAACAGAGGGAGAGUUGAAUUGAAGACUAUGGAAACUGCUUUUACAGGUAUUUUAGGUCGAAUUCAGUUGAUUUACCGUUUCUAAUUGCCAUGUAAUUAUGUGUUUACAAAUAAAUUUUCUAAUAUGUAAUUUUCAAGUAAAAACGAAUGGCCAGAAAUGUCUGUUAUAAAGGAGGGUUUCCGUUUUGUUAAGCAAGAGGGUAUUCUUGCUGAUGAGAUAGUAAAUGACAAUCUUGACCUUCUUAUGAUCCCUCAGUAUGGAAGGAACCCUGACAAGACUGGUUAAUGAUUUAUAUUUGAAUUGUUUUCAGUUGAGUAAUGUUAUGUUUAUAUAAGUUUGUAUUUCGUAUGUACAAAGUAAUAAUGUUGGCACUCUAAAAUGUCCUUUUAUAUCACUUCGUAAGUAGGUAUGGAAAUACAAACUCUAUAAGUAUGGUGUUAUCCUUUUUUUAUAUUUAAUAUAUAAAAGGACAUGCACUGUUGUCAGUCCAUUGUGUGAGUGUUUGUUUUAGUUCAAUUAAUUAAUAAGAUCUUCUGAGAUACUUGGGAGAUUCUAGCUAUUUGAUAUGUACUUUGAUUUCUU